This 767-nucleotide ribosomal RNA is filed under the name uncultured bacterium. RNAcentral's name for it is "bacterial SSU rRNA". It matches the Rfam family "Bacterial small subunit ribosomal RNA", at positions 62 to 838 of the family's 1533-position model. The record is from RNAcentral.
UCGAGCGAGAGGGAGUAGCAAUACUCUAGUAAAGCGGCGCACGGGUGAGUAACACGUGGGUAAUCUGCCUCGAAGUGGGGAAUAACACCGGGAAACCGGUGCUAAUACCGCAUAAUCUGACGGAGUCUGCGGAUUUUGUCAGCAAAGGAGCAAUUCGCUUUGAGAGGAGCCCGCGGCUGAUUAGCUAGUUGGUGAGGUAAUGGCUCACCAAGGCUACGAUCAGUAGCCGGUCUGAGAGGACGGUCGGCCACACUGGAACUGAGACACGGUCCAGACUCCUACGGGAGGCAGCAGUGGGGAAUUUUUCGCAAUGGGGGCAACCCUGACGAAGCAACGCCGCGUGGAUGAUGAAGUCUCUUGGGACGUAAAAUCCUUUCGACGGGGACGAAACCGCAAGGUUGACGGUACCCGUAGAAGAAGCCCCGGCUAACUCCGUGCCAGCAGCCGCGGUAAUACGGGGGGGGCAAGCGUUGUUCGGAAUUACUGGGCGUAAAGGGCGCGUAGGCGGCUCACUAAGUCGGAUGUGAAAACUCUGGGCUCAACCCAGAGCCUGCAUCCGAAACUGGUGGGCUAGGGUGCUGGAGGGGAUAGCGGAAUUCCUGGUGUAGCGGUGAAAUGCGUAGAUAUCAGGAGGAACACCGGUGGCGAAGGCGGCUAUCUGGACAGUAACCGACGCUGAGGCGCGAAAGCUAGGGGAGCAAACAGGAUUAGAUACCCUGGUAGUCCUAGCCCUAACGAUGGAUACUUGCUGUGAGGGGAUUGAAUCC